CGCUAUCUACCCAGAGACUGGCUUUCAUUCGGCCCUUAUCCACGAGACUGAGCUGAACGUCAAGAUGUAUGAAACCAAAGGAAACAAGCAAUCGGCCCCUCCUCCGCGACCACGCCCACAAGGUCCACGGCAACCACCACCUCCACGUUUGAAAAUUGCUGCACCAAGCGGAGGCAGGGGAGGCAUUCCGAAGACCUCGUCUUAGCAAUGUGAAUGUCAAAACUGAAGGCUCCAUGCAGACACAUACGACUCGUUAUGUAGGCCUAAAAUUAAGUGUUGAUAUAUUAACGUUGUCAUCGGACAAUUUGAAAGUCCAGACAAUAUUCAGCGUGUCAGAGUUUACUCUGCCUAAAGCAUUAAAUGAAUCAAAAUUGAAUUUGUUUG
Haliotis rufescens (red abalone) is the source of this 384-nucleotide long non-coding RNA. RefSeq lists it as uncharacterized. The transcript is spliced from 3 exons. NCBI's taxonomy places the organism in Eukaryota, Metazoa, Mollusca, Gastropoda, Lepetellida, Haliotidae. The record is from RefSeq and is a predicted model, not a curated record.